GACGAACGCUGGCGGCGUGCUUAACACAUGCCAGUCGAACGGAAAGGCCCUGCUUUUGUGGGGUGCUCGAGUGGCGAACGGGUGAGUAACACGUGAGUAACCUGCCCUUGACUUUGGGAUAACUUCAGGAAACUGGGGCUAAUACCGGAUAGGAGCUCCUGCUGCAUGGUGGGGGUUGGAAAGUUUCGGCGGUUGGGGAUGGACUCGCGGCUUAUCAGCUUGUUGGUGGGGUAGUGGCUGACCAAGGCUUUGACGGGUAGCCGGCCUGAGAGGGUGACCGGCCACAUUGGGACUGAGAUACGGCCCAGACUCCUACGGGAGGCAGCAGUGGGGAAUAUUGCACAAUGGGCGGAAGCCUGAUGCAGCAACGCCGCGUGCGGGAUGACGGCCUUCGGGUUGUAAACCGCUUUCGCCUGUGACGAAGCGUGAGUGACGGUAAUGGGUAAAGAAGCACCGGCUAACUACGUG
RNAcentral lists this ribosomal RNA (468 nucleotides) under uncultured bacterium. RNAcentral describes it as "partial 16S ribosomal RNA". It matches the Rfam family "Bacterial small subunit ribosomal RNA", at positions 28 to 507 of the family's 1533-position model. The record is from RNAcentral.